Peromyscus maniculatus bairdii (prairie deer mouse) is the source of this 707-nucleotide non-coding RNA. The record is from RefSeq and is a predicted model, not a curated record. Lineage: Eukaryota; Metazoa; Chordata; Mammalia; Rodentia; Cricetidae.
CUCUCUCGGGGAAGCUAGGAGCACUGCAGGAGUGCUGGAAGGAAGUAUGUAGCAUACUGAGCAAGAAAAGACACUGAUGGUCCUUCACAACUCUGGAGCCUGCAAUCUCCCGGGGAAGAUGCGCCCCCAAGGGGAAUAGUGCCAUGAAUGUUAUUGGGAUACACGGCUACUUUCUGAUUUGAGGCUUUCACCACAGGAAGGAAAUCAUGCUCGGUAUUGUAAUCUUGGUCAAAGGCCAUGAGUGGGGAGAUCAUAGGACUUAGGAGAACCAGAGGUAAUAGACCACUUCCAUCUGUGGCUCAUAAUGGAAUACAUUCGGAAAGGGAAGCCUAUAAUGAAAUGCACCUCAUAGGAUAUGCUGACCUCUUGGAGAGCACCAGGGCAUGGAAUUGCUCCACACAACCUAUGACAGAGAAAUCAUGACUGAAGGCUCUGGGUUGGAUGGUGACAUGCUGUUGCUUCUGCGUGAUGCUCUCACGAACUCACUAAGACUGACUGUGAGAACUGAGAAGACAGGAUUUUAAAGUAGGUUGAAUCGUCUGUGCGCACCUGCAAAAUGCUUUGGUGGCAGCUGCCGGGAGCCUGCAGCCUUCUUUGGAUUAAGGAGCAAAAUAAAAUUGAGUGCACAUCUUCUCAGCCUGACUUAAUGGCUCAUAAAUCACUUGUAAUAGAAAACAAGAAAUGGCCUGUUCUCUUCUGCAGCCUAG